UGCUUGCUUCGGCAGCACAUAUACUAAAUUGGAACGAUACAGAGAAGAUUAGCAUGGCUCCUGCGCAGGGAUGACACGCAAAUUCGCGAAGUGCUGCAUAUUUUU
Molecule: small nuclear RNA, 105 nt
Organism: Chionomys nivalis (European snow vole)
Lineage: Eukaryota; Metazoa; Chordata; Mammalia; Rodentia; Cricetidae
Source: RefSeq, a predicted model, not a curated record